CUAUACAUGACUCUGCGCAUAUCAAUAAGCGGAGGAAAAGAAACUAACAAGGAUUCCCCUAGUAACGGCGAGUGAAGCGGGAAGAGCUCAAAUUUGAAAUCUUAAAGGGUUUCCCUUUACGAAUUGUAGUUUAAAGAAGUGUUUUCUGUUGAGGUUUUGGUAAAAGUUCUUUGGAAUAGGACAUCAUAGAGGGUGAGAAUCCCGUAUUUGACCUUUACUUUCAACUUUGUGAUACACUUUCAAAGAGUCGGAUUGUUUGGGAAUGCAGUCCAAAAUGGGUGGUAAAUUUCAUCUAAAGCUAAAUAUUGGCGAGAGACCGAUAGCGAACAAGUACCGUGAGGGAAAGAUGAAAAGAACUUUGAAAAGAGAGUUAAACAGUACGUGAAAUUGUCAAAAGGGAAGCGUUUGACACCAGUGUUGUUUUUCUGAAAAUCAAUUAAAGAACUGUUUAUGCUAAGUUGUUUAGACUUUAUCAGCUAACUGUUUAGUUUUGAGCUUUUCUUUAAUGCACUUUUCAGUUAACAAGUCAACAUCAAUUUCUUUUGCUGUAAAAAAGCUUGAGGAAGGUGGCUUGAGAUUCGUCUUAAGUGUUUAUAGCCUCUUGCCUAUGCAGUCGGAGAGAUUGAGGUCUGCAGCGUAGAUCCUUCGGGGCUAAAUGCAUUUGUGCUAAGUUAUAGCAUUUUAUAGACAACUUGUUGACUAUGAUUUGUCUUGUAGCUUACUCGCUUAUGUUAUUUUACCUACGCUUAGGAUGUUGAGCGCAUGUCUCUCUCU
RNAcentral lists this ribosomal RNA (774 nucleotides) under uncultured Neocallimastigales. RNAcentral describes it as "partial large subunit ribosomal RNA". It matches the Rfam family "Eukaryotic large subunit ribosomal RNA", at positions 22 to 616 of the family's 3401-position model. The record is from RNAcentral. Lineage: Eukaryota; Fungi; Neocallimastigomycota; Neocallimastigomycetes; Neocallimastigales.